GAGCUUGGUCGGACAUCUGAGCUUGGUCGGGUAUCCUGAAGUUCACAAGCGUCCCAAUAUCAGGAAGAGUGGAAUAAUUAAAGGAGAGCUGCAAAUAAAUCAACAUAAGAAGGGAACGAGAGUUGUGUUUCCAAUCGUCGAGGACCCCUGGCAGCUCUACUGAUAAUACAUCCGAAGAUUUCCGGAAUUCCAACUUCGUGGAAUGAGGGUCCCUUCGAGAGACUCCAACUUGUACGCUCCGGGCCGCUGGACUCGAGCAAUCCGAUAUGACCCUUUCCAGUUCGAGGCGAGCUUCUCCUGCUCGGUAGGCUGAGAAGCUCCAGCUCUCCUGAGGACGAGAUCUCCCACCUUGAAAAGCUUGGCCUUUACCCUGGAGUUGUAGUACUGUGUCGCUUUCUGUUAAUACCUCGCCAUGCGGACUCGGACGACCUCCCUUGUCUCCUCAACGAGGUCCAAGUUGCCCCUGAGCUGAGAGGAGUUGGAGGCUGCGUUGUAGUGCUCUACUCUUGGUGAGGGGAGUCCGACUUUUAGGGGGAUGACAGCUUUCGUUCCGUACGCUAGGUUGAAGGGGGUAUCGCCAGUGGAAAGUCGAAAUGUAGUCCUGUAAGCCCAGAGAACAUUGUAGAGGUCUUCGACCCAUUGCCCUUUGGAUCGGUCGAGCCUAACCUUGAGCCCCUAAAGGAUGGUGCAGUUUGUCACCUCGGUUUCUCUAUUCGCCUGUGGAUGGACGACCGAAGUGUCAGAUAUAAGGAUGCGGGGGGAGUCCAAAUCUGCAGAUUAUUGACUUCCAGACAAAGUCCCGCAUCUUCAGCUCGAAGAUCUGGACCACUGGUUCGAUUUCGACCCAUUUGGUAAAGUAGUCGAUGGAGACAACUAGAAAUUUUCUCUUUCCGGUGGCCAGAAAAAAUGAUCCCAGGAUGUCAAUCCCCCAUUGGGCGAAUGGCCAAGGGGCACUUAUCGAGGUCAGCGGGGCCGAGGGCCGGCGCUGAAUGUUG
Molecule: long non-coding RNA, 995 nt
Filed under: Phoenix dactylifera (date palm)
Lineage: Eukaryota; Viridiplantae; Streptophyta; Magnoliopsida; Arecales; Arecaceae
Description: long non-coding RNA (PDAC_LNC015178)
Source: RNAcentral